Molecule: non-coding RNA, 125 nt
Organism: Triticum aestivum (bread wheat)
Lineage: Eukaryota; Viridiplantae; Streptophyta; Magnoliopsida; Poales; Poaceae
Source: Rfam
CAUAUACUCCCUCCAUCCGGAAAUACUCGUCAGAGAAAUGCAUAAAAAUGGAUGUAUCUAGAACUAAAAUACAUCUAGAUACAACCAUUCCUCCGACAAAUAUUUCUGGACGGAGGGAGUAUAUA